Long non-coding RNA from Conger conger (European conger), 699 nucleotides. RefSeq lists it as uncharacterized. NCBI's taxonomy places the organism in Eukaryota, Metazoa, Chordata, Actinopteri, Anguilliformes, Congridae. The transcript is spliced from 2 exons. The record is from RefSeq and is a predicted model, not a curated record.
UCCUAGCAUUUUAAAUGUGUGAAUUACGUGUGAGUGUUCACCUGUACCCGCGAGAUAUCCAUCACCUAUGUUGGUUUCACACAUCACCUUUUUUCCCUUCUCACUUCCGUACAAGCAAUACCGAGCACUGGGAUUGGAAAAAGGCUGCUUGUUUUGUUUCAAGAGGAUAUUCAGCAGUGCAGGAGAAGACGUGCUUUGAAGGAGCGUUUCCCAGCCACCGAUCAGUACGUGGAAAAGAAACAGAAAGAACAGUGUAAUUACAGGCUCAGAAUAGACCUGUGUCCCAGCUCCGUUUUUUUAUUAUUCUUUUUUCCUAGGGAUUAGUGCGAUAUUCCUUGGCCCAGAUUCGCGACGGAGGAAGGCUCCCUGCCUGCCGCACUCAGUGGGGUCUCUGCCCAAGGCUCCAAUGACGACGGUGUGGAGGAAUGGAGUCUGCCCUGGUCCCUCUUCCCCGUUUCCUCUCGCCCAAUCUUCUUUCCCGCUGCGGCUGCCCAGCCGUUCCUGUUUACUUUUCUCUUGAAAAUGUUCUGGAGGAAAUCUGUUGGAAAGCUACCCGCUUACUUUUUUGUUGGAAUGUCUGGCAGAUUGUUUUGCACUAGAAGUCCUUUAUGCAGUUUUUAUUCAGUGUAUGCCAAUAAACACUGAACUUUGAAGGAAGGGUGUUCAAUUUUCUUAAAAUAAAAGUUUUACAGAACAUUA